AAAGAUUAAGCCAUGCAUGUCUAAGUAUAAGCAACUAUACUGUGAAACUGCGAAUGGCUCAUUAAAUCAGUUAUCGUUUAUUUGAUAGUACCUUACUACAUGGAUAACCGUGGUAAUUCUAGAGCUAAUACAUGCUAAAAACCUCGACUUCGGAAGGGGUGUAUUUAUUAGAUAAAAAACCAAUGCCCUUCGGGGCUCCUUGGUGAUUCAUGAUAACUUAACGAAUCGCAUGGCCUUGUGCCGGCGAUGGUUCAUUCAAAUUUCUGCCCUAUCAACUUUCGAUGUUUGGGUCUUGGCCAAACAUGGUGU
RNAcentral lists this ribosomal RNA (309 nucleotides) under uncultured fungus. Its description in RNAcentral is "SSU rRNA". It matches the Rfam family "Eukaryotic small subunit ribosomal RNA", at positions 39 to 352 of the family's 1831-position model. Lineage: Eukaryota; Fungi. The record is from RNAcentral.